AUGCAGCUGACGAGUCCCAAAUAGGACGAAACUAGCCUCCUAGAU
Molecule: non-coding RNA, 45 nt
Filed under: Schistosoma mansoni
Lineage: Eukaryota; Metazoa; Platyhelminthes; Trematoda; Strigeidida; Schistosomatidae
Source: RNAcentral